RNAcentral lists this ribosomal RNA (465 nucleotides) under uncultured bacterium. RNAcentral's name for it is "bacterial SSU rRNA". It matches the Rfam family "Bacterial small subunit ribosomal RNA", at positions 338 to 795 of the family's 1533-position model. The record is from RNAcentral.
CCUACGGGUCGCACCAGUGGGGAAUAUUGCACAAUGGGCGCAAGCCUGAUGCAGCCAUGCCGCGUGUGUGAAGAAGGCCUUCGGGUUGUAAAGCACUUUCAGCGGGGAGGAAGGGAGUAAAGUUAAUACCUUUGCUCAUUGACGUUACCCGCAGAAGAAGCACCGGCUAACUCCGUGCCAGCAGCCGCGGUAAUACGGAGGGUGCAAGCGUUAAUCGGAAUUACUGGGCGUAAAGCGCACGCAGGCGGUCUGUCAAGUCGGAUGUGAAAUCCCCGGGCUCAACCUGGAAACUGCAUUCGAAACUGGCAGGCUAGAGUCUUGUAGAGGGGGGUAGAAUUCCAGGUGUAGCGGUGAAAUGCGUAGAGAUCUGGAGGAAUACCGGUGGCGGAGGCGGCCCCCUGGACAAAGACUGACGCUCAGGUGCGAAAGCGUGGGGAGCAAACAGGAUUAGAGACCCUCGUAGUC